GUGUAGGAUAGGUGGGAGGCUAUGAAACCGGAACGCUAGUUUCGGUGGAGCCGUCCUUGAAAUACCACCCUGGUUUGUUUGAGGUUCUAACCUUGGCCCGUGAUCCGGGUCGGGGACAGUGCAUGGUAGGCAGUUUGACUGGGGCGGUCUCCUCCCAAAGCGUAACGGAGGAGUACGAAGGUACGCUAGGUACGGUCGGAAAUCGUGCUGAUAGUGCAAUGGCAUAAGCGUGCUUAACUGCGAGACCGACAAGUCGAGCAGGUGCGAAAGCAGGUCAUAGUGAUCCGGUGGUUCUGUAUGGAAGGGCCAUCGCUCAACGGAUAAAAGGUACUCUGGGGAUAACAGGCUGAUACCGCCCAAGAGUUCAUAUCGACGGCGGUGUUUGGCACCUCGAUGUCGGCUCAUCUCAUCCUGGGGCUGUAGCCGGUCCCAAGGGUAUGGCUGUUCGCCAUUUAAAGAGGUACGUGAGCUGGGUUUAAAACGUCGUGAGACAGUUUGGUCCCUAUCUGCCGUGGGCGUUGGAUAUUUGAAGGGGGCUGCUCCUAGUACGAGAGGACCGGAGUGGACGAACCUCUGGUGUACCGGUUGUCACGCCAGUGGCAUCGCCGGGUAGCUAUGUUCGGAAGAGAUAACCGCUGAAAGCAUCUAAGCGGGAAACUCGCCUUAAGAUGAGAUAUCCCUGGGGACUAGAUCCCCUUGAAGGGUCGUUCGAGACCAGGACGUUGAUAGGUCAGGUGUGUAAGCGCAGUAAUGCGUUCAGCUAACUGAUACUAAUUGCCCGUAAGGCUUGAUCCUAUAACA
RNAcentral lists this ribosomal RNA (801 nucleotides) under Burkholderia cenocepacia. RNAcentral describes it as "bacterial LSU rRNA". It matches the Rfam family "Bacterial large subunit ribosomal RNA", at positions 2136 to 2925 of the family's 2925-position model. The record is from RNAcentral. Lineage: Bacteria; Pseudomonadati; Pseudomonadota; Betaproteobacteria; Burkholderiales; Burkholderiaceae.